CUUGGCGCUGAGAAAAAAAAUCAUAGUAUACAAAAUAUUAAAACGACAACGACGACGUCGACAACAAUGAAGAUGGUGAUGAUUUCUAUGAGCGGACUGGCACAGCGGUUGCGGUUCUGUUUCUCAACCUUGAGAUUCUGGACACACCAUGUCAUUCAGACGGAUAACGUUAACUCAGCGUCCAUGCGCAGUAGAUUGUAAGUGACGUCAGUAUAUUUUAUAUCUUACCGUCGAUGUGCAAUCGAAAGCUCCUUAAUAGUUACAUUCACUGAAUCAGAAUAGACCUUUCCGGAGUGUCAAUCAAACUUAACAACCGACUAAUCAGAACAGCUCUAGGAAUACGCGCGCGUCUUACAAACACACGUGUUGUCCCACAAACUCACGUGUCCGCGUAUGUUUUAACACUGCCGUCUUGUGGGACCUUAGCAACAAUAUCCAAGGGGCGGAGCUUAGCGGAAAGGUCCAUUAUGGACAGAAGGUCCAGAUGCUUGCUUUUUGAAAAGCAUGAGAUCUGCUUAUGAGAAAGCAUCUUUAAACACAUUUAAAACAAUAUUUUUAAGUUUUAGAGAGAAGCUGCAUUAGCUAAAGACUCGAUAUAGCAUAAAAAAUGAUAAAUCAGUGUCAUUUCAAAAAUUCUCUAUUUGAGAAACGUACCUGUUUGAUCUCAGAUUCUGAAAAAUGGAACAAUAGUAAAAAACCAAACAACAUGGAAACACGGCAAUCAUUGACAGCACAAAACAACCGAGUUAUAAUAUAUUCAGCAGAGCAAGGAAUCAGAUCAGCUGUUGACACUCAUGAAUCAAGGGAUUACUUUUCUUUAGUGAUUAUAUAACAUUCAGUUCUUUCUUAAAGAGUUUUAAUGAAUAAUAUGUACCGGUACGUAUAUUUAGUGGCAACUGUCCUGAACACUUCUGAGUUUAAAAAAUGUGCUCCAUGGUUGAAACCAAGACACAGCAGAGUAUUAGUUAAUAAUUUGUAGGCGGUUAUUUCAAGUUUGUGAAUGGUUUACUCUUUUCUAUUGUUUAACCUGAUAUUAGAAAGUAAUGGAGAGUCCAAUGUAUAUAAAACGCA
This is a long non-coding RNA of Anneissia japonica, 1071 nucleotides long. RefSeq lists it as uncharacterized. The transcript has 3 exons. The record is from RefSeq and is a predicted model, not a curated record. Lineage: Eukaryota; Metazoa; Echinodermata; Crinoidea; Comatulida; Comatulidae.